AUUGAACGCUGGCGGCAGGCUUAACACAUGCAAGUCGAGCGAGCGGCGGACGGGUGAGUAAUGUCUGGGAAACUGCCUGAUGGAGGGGGAUAACUACUGGAAACGGUAGCUAAUACCGCAUACCAUCAGAUGUGCCCCGAUGGGAUGAGCUAGUAGCUGGGGUAAUGGCUCACCUAGGCGACGAUCCCGAGCUGGUCUGAGAGGAUGACCAGCCACACUGGAACUGCGACACGGUCCAGACUCCUACGGGAGGCAGCGGUGGGGAAUAUUGCACAAUGCGCGCAAGCCUGAUGCAGCCAAGCCGCGUGUGGGAAGAAGGCCGUCGAGUUGUAAAGCACUGUCAGCGAGGGGGCGUUACUCGCAGAGGAAGCACCGGCUAACUCCGUGCCAGCAGCCGCGGUAAUAC
Molecule: ribosomal RNA, 406 nt
Filed under: uncultured bacterium
Lineage: Bacteria
Description: partial 16S ribosomal RNA
Rfam family: Bacterial small subunit ribosomal RNA
Source: RNAcentral